CUAUAUUCUGGUGUUGUAUAAGGAGUAAACGUGGCGAGCCCCAGCACUAUUUUAUGCCAUUAGUAGACAAGACAGACAUCAAGAGACAGAAUGACUUCCUCCACUGUAACGUCGGACGAGAAAGGUCUGAAUAAAAAGUAAGGUCCUUUUCUUUAAAAUGAUAAGGGGUCAUUCCUCUAGUCACAUUCAUAAUGGUAGCUUUGUCUUGACCAUUUUGAAAUUUGAUUAGCAGAUCACUGGUGGCCAUAGCCUUGACCUACUGUAGCUUAGGGAGAUGGAACAUG
Molecule: non-coding RNA, 284 nt
Organism: Pelobates cultripes (western spadefoot toad)
Lineage: Eukaryota; Metazoa; Chordata; Amphibia; Anura; Pelobatidae
Source: the annotation of a GenBank genome assembly